UACGGGGGGGGCAAGCGUUGUUCGGAAUUACUGGGCGUAAAGGGCUCGUAGGCGGCCAACUAAGUCGGAUGUGAAAGCCCCGGGCUUAACCUGGGAACUGCGUUUGAAACUGGGAGACUUGAGUGUGGCAGAGGGGGGUGGAAUUCCACGUGUAGCAGUGAAAUGCGUAGAUAUGUGGAGGAACACCGAUGGCGAAGGCAGCCCCCUGGGUUAACACUGACGCUCAUGCACGAAAGCGUGGGGAGCAAACAGG
Molecule: ribosomal RNA, 253 nt
Filed under: uncultured bacterium
Lineage: Bacteria
Description: partial 16S ribosomal RNA
Rfam family: Bacterial small subunit ribosomal RNA
Source: RNAcentral